This 103-nucleotide small RNA is filed under the name Salmonella enterica subsp. salamae. RNAcentral describes it as "partial RtT sRNA". It matches the Rfam family "RtT RNA", at positions 1 to 99 of the family's 130-position model. From Rfam's summary of the family: This family represents a bacterial cis-regulatory element known as RtT RNA. The exact function of RtT is unknown although it is thought that it may be involved in changing the cellular response in relation to amino acid starvation. The record is from RNAcentral. Lineage: Bacteria; Pseudomonadati; Pseudomonadota; Gammaproteobacteria; Enterobacterales; Enterobacteriaceae.
UGUAUCUGAAGUCUGAAGAGGAUGAGAACCUCCGGGGGCAAGAGGUUCGACUCGAGCGACGCGAGAGAACGUUGCGUCAGCAACGGCCCGCAGGGCGAGCCAC